Molecule: small RNA, 169 nt
Filed under: Peromyscus maniculatus bairdii (prairie deer mouse)
Lineage: Eukaryota; Metazoa; Chordata; Mammalia; Rodentia; Cricetidae
Description: TUC338 (ENSPEMG00000004499.2)
Source: RNAcentral
UUGACAGCUCUGGAAACGGAUGGCCUCUUUUUCUCCCAAGAAUAGAUGCAGCCUGAUAAACAGAGGUGUUCCUUCAACUACUCCUUCAAUAAGCCCUCACCCUGAUAAAGCAGUGGCUGAAGGGAGACAGGAGUCACCUUUUCCAGACAGCUCUCUGUACACUGCUUAC